RNAcentral lists this long non-coding RNA (296 nucleotides) under Brassica napus (rape). RNAcentral describes it as "long non-coding RNA (BNAP_LNC018221)". Lineage: Eukaryota; Viridiplantae; Streptophyta; Magnoliopsida; Brassicales; Brassicaceae. The record is from RNAcentral.
UUGUUAGUCUCUUUCUUGUGCUUGUGAAAUUGUGUAGGUUUUUAAAUUGCGUAGUUUCAGGAAAGGUGUUUCAAACUUUCAGGAUAGCUUUCCAGAAAAUCGAAUACUAGAAAAUUUGAAAAAAAAUAUGGCUUGGUUAAGCAGGACAGCAAUGCGAUGGGAGAUUAACUGCCUGUCAUGCUAAGACUAAGUUUUUGAACUUUGAUGUUGUCUUGGACAAGUAAGAAGUUUGUAACGAAUGAUGACGACGUUUGUUUCAGGUAGGUUGUUAUUAAAGAAAUUUUAGGAUGUCUUGA